RNAcentral lists this ribosomal RNA (165 nucleotides) under uncultured bacterium. Its description in RNAcentral is "partial 16S ribosomal RNA". It matches the Rfam family "Bacterial small subunit ribosomal RNA", at positions 355 to 512 of the family's 1533-position model. The record is from RNAcentral.
UAGGGAAUCUUCCACAAUGGGCGAAAGCCUGAUGGAGCAACGCCGCGUGUGUGAUGAAGGCUUUCGGGUCGUAAAGCACUGUUGUAUGGGAAGAACAGCUAGAAUAGGAAAUGAUUUUAGUUUGACGGUACCAUACCAGAAAGGGACGGCUAAAUACGUGCCCGA